GUACACGCUGUGACUAGCAUAUCAAUAAGCGGAGGAAAAGAAACUAACAAGGAUUCCCCUAGUAACGGCGAGUGAAGCGGGAAGAGCUCAAAUUUGAAAUCUUAAAGGGUUUCCCUUUACGAAUUGUAGUUUAAAGAAGUGUUUUCUGUUGAGGUUUUGGUAAAAGUUCUUUGGAAUAGGACAUCAUAGAGGGUGAGAAUCCCGUAUUUGACCUUUACUUUCAACUUUGUGAUACACUUUCAAAGAGUCGGAUUGUUUGGGAAUGCAGUCCAAAAUGGGUGGUAAAUUUCAUCUAAAGCUAAAUAUUGGCGAGAGACCGAUAGCGAACAAGUACCGUGAGGGAAAGAUGAAAAGAACUUUGAAAAGAGAGUUAAACAGUACGUGAAAUUGUCAAAAGGGAAGCGUUUGACACCAGGUGUUGUUUUUCUGAAAAUCAAUUAAAGAACUGUUUAUGCUAAGUUGUUUAGACUUUAUCAGCUAUCUGUUUAGUUUUGAGCUUUUCUUUAAUGCACUUUUCAGUUAACAAGUCAACAUCAAUUUCUUUUGCUGUAAAAAAGCUUGAGGAAGGUAGGCUUGAUGAUUCGUCUUAAGUGUUUAUAGCCUCUUGCCUAUGCAGUCGGAGAGAUUGAGGUCUGCAGCGUAGAUCCUUCGGGGCUAAAUGCAUUUGUGCUAAGUUAUAGCAUUUUAUAGACAACUUGUUGACUAUGAUUUGUCUUGUAGCUUACUCGCUUAUGUUAUUUUACCUACGCUUAGGAUGUUGAUAUGCAUGACUGAUAU
Molecule: ribosomal RNA, 777 nt
Filed under: uncultured Neocallimastigales
Lineage: Eukaryota; Fungi; Neocallimastigomycota; Neocallimastigomycetes; Neocallimastigales
Description: partial large subunit ribosomal RNA
Rfam family: Eukaryotic large subunit ribosomal RNA
Source: RNAcentral